UAUGUGAUCGUCUCUCGCAUAUCAAUAAGCGGAGGAAAAGAAACUAACAAGGAUUCCCCUAGUAACGGCGAGUGAAGCGGGAAGAGCUCAAAUUUGAAAUCUUAAAGGGUUUCCCUUUACGAAUUGUAGUUUAAAGAAGUGUUUUCUGUUGAGGUUUUGGUAAAAGUUCUUUGGAAUAGGACAUCAUAGAGGGUGAGAAUCCCGUAUUUGACCUUUACUUUCAACUUUGUGAUACACUUUCAAAGAGUCGGAUUGUUUGGGAAUGCAGUCCAAAAUGGGUGGUAAAUUUCAUCUAAAGCUAAAUAUUGGCGAGAGACCGAUAGCGAACAAGUACCGUGAGGGAAAGAUGAAAAGAACUUUGAAAAGAGAGUUAAACAGUACGUGAAAUUGUCAAAAGGGAAGCGUUUGACACCAGUGUUGUUUUUCUGAAAAUCAAUUAAAGAACUGUUUAUGCUAAGCUGUUUAGACUUUAUCAGCUAAUCUGUUUAGUUUUGAGCUUUUCUUUAAUGCACUUUUCAGUUAACAAGUCAACAUCAAUUUCUUUUGCUGUAAAAAAGCUUGAGGAAGGUGGCUUGAGAUUCGUCUUAAGUGUUUAUAGCCUCUUGCCUAUGCAGUCGGAGAGAUUGAGGUCUGCAGCGUAGAUCCUUCGGGGCUAAAUGCAUUUGUGCUAAGUUAUAGCAUUUUAUAAACAACUUGUUGACUAUGAUUUGUCUUGUAGCUUACUCGCUUAUGUUAUUUUACCUACGCUUAGGAUGUUGAGUAGCGACAUACGCAC
This 775-nucleotide ribosomal RNA is filed under the name uncultured Neocallimastigales. RNAcentral's name for it is "partial large subunit ribosomal RNA". It matches the Rfam family "Eukaryotic large subunit ribosomal RNA", at positions 24 to 649 of the family's 3401-position model. Lineage: Eukaryota; Fungi; Neocallimastigomycota; Neocallimastigomycetes; Neocallimastigales. The record is from RNAcentral.